This 28-nucleotide non-coding RNA is filed under the name Bombyx mori (domestic silkworm). The record is from RNAcentral. Lineage: Eukaryota; Metazoa; Arthropoda; Insecta; Lepidoptera; Bombycidae.
UUGCUAAUUAAAAUGUCGCUCUCAAGCC